This 465-nucleotide ribosomal RNA is filed under the name uncultured bacterium. RNAcentral describes it as "partial 16S ribosomal RNA". It matches the Rfam family "Bacterial small subunit ribosomal RNA", at positions 28 to 507 of the family's 1533-position model. The record is from RNAcentral.
GACGAACGCUGGCGGCGUGCUUAGCACAUGCAAGUCGAACGGAAAGGCCCUGCUUGCAGGGUACUCGAGUGGCGAACGGGUGAGUAACACGUGGGUGAUCUGCCCUGCACUUCGGGAUAAGCCUGGGAAACUGGGUCUAAUACCGGAUAGGAGCCAUUUUUAGUGUGAUGGUUGGAAAGUUUUUUCGGUGUAGGAUGAGCUCGCGGCCUAUCAGCUUGUUGGUGGGGUAAUGGCCUACCAAGGCGGCGACGGGUAGCCGGCCUGAGAGGGUGGACGGCCACAUUGGGACUGAGAUACGGCCCAGACUCCUACGGGCGGCAGCAGUGGGGAAUAUUGCACAAUGGGCGCAAGCCUGAUGCAGCGACGCCGCGUGGGGGAUGACGGCCUUCGGGUUGUAAACUCCUUUCGCUAGGGACGAAGCUUUUUGUGACGGUACCUAGAUAAGAAGCACCGGCUAACUACGUG